RNAcentral lists this ribosomal RNA (492 nucleotides) under uncultured bacterium. RNAcentral describes it as "partial 16S ribosomal RNA". It matches the Rfam family "Bacterial small subunit ribosomal RNA", at positions 29 to 507 of the family's 1533-position model. The record is from RNAcentral.
AGUGAACGCUGGCGGUAGGCCUAACACAUGCAAGUCGAACGGCAGCACAGUAAGAGCUUGCUCUUACGGGUGGCGAGUGGCGGACGGGUGAGGAAUACAUCGGAAUCUACUUUUUCGUGGGGGAUAACGUAGGGAAACUUACGCUAAUACCGCAUACGACCUACGGGUGAAAGCAGGGGAUCUUCGGACCUUGCGCGAUUGAAUGAGCCGAUGUCGGAUUAGCUAGUUGGCGGGGUAAAGGCCCACCAAGGCGACGAUCCGUAGCUGGUCUGAGAGGAUGAUCAGCCACACUGGAACUGAGACACGGUCCAGACUCCUACGGGAGGCAGCAGUGGGGAAUAUUGGACAAAGGGCGCAAGCCUGAUCCAGCCAUACCACGUGGGUGAAGAAGGCCUUCGGGUUGUAAAGCCCUUUUGUUGGGAAAGAAAAGCAGCAGGUUAAUACCCCGCUGUUCUGACGGUACCCAAAGAAUAAGCACCGGCUAACUUCGUG